ACGAUUGACGGAGCGAAGCGACGUCAAAGCGUAUACAAAGUCGAGUCGGUUUAAGGAUACGUUCGUUGGGUAGGGGAGCGUUCUGUAAGCCUGUGAAGGUGGCCUGUGAGGGUUGCUGGAGGUAUCAGAAGUGCGAAUGCUGACAUAAGUAACGAUAAAGCGGGUGAAAAGCCCGCUCGCCGGAAGACCAAGGGUUCCUGUCCAACGUUAAUCGGGGCAGGGUGAGUCGACCCCUAAGGCGAGGCCGAAAGGCGUAGUCGAUGGGAAAC
This 269-nucleotide ribosomal RNA is filed under the name Salmonella enterica subsp. enterica serovar Kentucky. RNAcentral's name for it is "partial 23S ribosomal RNA". It matches the Rfam family "Bacterial large subunit ribosomal RNA", at positions 1182 to 1426 of the family's 2925-position model. The record is from RNAcentral. Lineage: Bacteria; Pseudomonadati; Pseudomonadota; Gammaproteobacteria; Enterobacterales; Enterobacteriaceae.